Molecule: ribosomal RNA, 630 nt
Filed under: uncultured cyanobacterium
Lineage: Bacteria; Bacillati; Cyanobacteriota
Description: bacterial SSU rRNA
Rfam family: Bacterial small subunit ribosomal RNA
Source: RNAcentral
GAACCUCCCCCCAAGUGGAAGAUAGCCAGCCGAAAGGUUGGGUAAUACUCCAUAGUCCCGAGAGGGUAAAGCCGUAAGGCGCUUGGGGACGGGCUCGCGUCCUAUCAGCUAGUUGGCGGGGUAACGGCCCACCAAGGCGAUGACGGGUAGCUGGUCUGAGAGGACGACCAGCCACACUGGAACUGAGACACGGUCCAGACACCUACGGGUGGCAGCAGUCGAGAAUCUUUCACAAUGGGCGAAAGCCUGAUGGAGCGACGCCGCGUGGAGGAUGAAGGUCUUCGGAUUGUAAACUCCUGUCGCCGCAGAGCAAAGCAGCGCAAGCUGCCUGAUAUUAUGCGGAGAGGAAGGGACGGCAAACUCUGUGCCAGCAGCCGCGGUAAUACAGAGGUCCCAAGCAUUGUUCGGAUUCACUGGGCGUAAAGGGUGUGUAGGAGGCAGGAGAAGUCUGGCGUGAAAUCCCGGCAUUCAAUGUCGGAAUUGCGCUGGAAACUGCCCUGCUCGAGUGCCGGAGAGGAGAACGGAAUUCCUGGUGUAGCAGUGAAAUGCGCAGAUAUCAGGAGGAACACCGAUGGCGAAAGCAGUUCUCUGGAAGGCCACUGACUCUGAAACACGAAGGCUAGGGGAGCA